RNAcentral lists this transfer RNA (74 nucleotides) under Acidimicrobiia bacterium. RNAcentral describes it as "tRNA-Ala". It matches the Rfam family "tRNA". From Rfam's summary of the family: Transfer RNA (tRNA) molecules are approximately 80 nucleotides in length. Their secondary structure includes four short double-helical elements and three loops (D, anti-codon, and T loops). Further hydrogen bonds mediate the characteristic L-shaped molecular structure. tRNAs have two regions of fundamental functional importance: the anti-codon, which is responsible for specific mRNA codon recognition, and the 3' end, to which the tRNAs corresponding amino acid is attached (by aminoacyl-tRNA synthetases). tRNAs cope with the degeneracy of the genetic code in two manners: having more than one tRNA (with a specific anti-codon) for a particular amino acid; and 'wobble' base-pairing, i.e. permitting non-standard base-pairing at the 3rd anti-codon position. The record is from RNAcentral. Lineage: Bacteria; Bacillati; Actinomycetota; Acidimicrobiia.
GGGGGUGUAGCUCAGCCCGGCAGAGCACUUCGUUCGCAACGAAGAAGUCACGGGUUCAAAUCCCGUCACCUCCA